Odobenus rosmarus divergens (Pacific walrus) is the source of this 1856-nucleotide RNA transcript. It is a transcript of the gene named actin, cytoplasmic 1-like, with no coding region annotated. The record is from RefSeq and is a predicted model, not a curated record. NCBI's taxonomy places the organism in Eukaryota, Metazoa, Chordata, Mammalia, Carnivora, Odobenidae. The transcript has a single exon.
ACCGCGUCCACCCCGCGAGCACAGGCCCCUCGCCCUCGCCGCUCCGCCGCUGCCACCGCCGGUUUACACCGCCCCCCGAUCGCCAUGGAUGAUGAUAUCACUGCGCUCGUGGUUGACAACGGCUCCGGCAUGUGCAAAGCCGGCUUCGCAGGCAAUGAUGCCCCCCGGGCCGUCUUCCCUUCCAUCGUGGGGCGCCCCCGGCACCAGGGCGUGUUGGUGGGCAUGGGCCAGAAGGACUCCUACGUGGGUGACGAGGCCCAGAGCAAGCGGGGCAUCCUGACCCUCAAGUACCCCAUCGAGCACGGUAUCGUCACCAACUGGGACGACAUGGAGAAGAUCUGGCACCACAUCUUCUACAACGAGCUGCGCGUGGCCCCCGAGGCGCACCCCGUGCUGCUGACCGAGGCCCCCCUGAACCCCAAGGCCAACCGUGAGAAGAUGACCCAGAUCAUGUUCGAGACCUUCAACACCCCGGCCAUGUACGUGGCCAUCCAGGCCGUGCUGUCCCUGUACACCUCUGGCCGUACCACUGGCAUCGUGAUGGACUCCGGGGACGGGGUCACCCACACUGUGCCCAUCUACGAGGGGUACGCGCUGCCCCACGCCAUCCUGCGUCUGGACCUGGCUGGCCGGGACCUGACGGACUACCUCAUGAAGAUCCUCACGGAGCGUGGCUUCAGCUUCACCACCACCGCCGAGCGGGAAAUCGUGCGUGACAUCAAGGAGAAGCUGUGUUAUGUGACCCUGGACUUCGAGCAGGAGAUGGCCACUGCGGCCUCCUCCUCCUCCCUGGAGAAGAGCUACGAGCUGCCCGACGGGCAGGUCAUCACCAUCAGCAACGAGGGUUCCGUUGCCCGGAGGCGCUCUUCCAGCCUUCCUUCCUGGGCAUGGAAUCCUGUGGCAUCCACGAAACUACCUUCAACUCCAUCAUGAAGUGGGACGUCGACAUCCGCAAGGACCUCUACGCCAACACGGUGCUGUCCGGGGGGACCACCAUGUACCCCGGCAUCGCCGACAGGAUGCAGAAGGAGAUCACCGCCCUGGCGCCCAGCACAGUGAAGAUCAAGAUCAUCGCCCCCCCUGAGCGCAAAUACUCUGUGUGGACCGGAGGCUCCAUCCUGGCCUCGCUGUCCACCUUCCAGCAGAUGUGGAUCAGCAAACAGGAGUACGACGAGUCCGGCCCCUCCAUCGUCCACUGCAAAUGCUUCUAGGCGGACUGUUACUUUAGUUGCGUUACACCCUUUCUUGACAAAACCUAACUUGCGCAGAAAACGAGUUGAGAUUGGCAUGGCUUUAUUUGGUUUUUUAAUUGUUUUUUGGGGUUUUUUUUGUUUGUUUGUUUGUUUUUUGGUUUUUUGGGGGGUUUUUUUGGCGCUUGACUCAGGAUUUAAAAACUGGAACGGUGAAGGUGACAGCAGUUGGUUGGAGCGAGCAUCCCCAAAGUUCUACAAUGUGGCCGAGGACUUUGAUUGUACAUUGUUUUUUUUUUAAUAGUCAUUCCAAAUAUUGUGAGAUGCAUUGUUACAGGAAGUCCCUUGCCUUCCCAAAAGCCACUCCAUUUCUCCCUGAGGAGAAGGGCCAGUCCUCGCCCAAGUCCACACAGGGGAGGGUGAUAGAAUUGCUUUUGUGUAAAUUAUGUAGUCCAAAUUUUUUUUAAUCUUCGCCUUAAUACUUGUUCUUUUUGUUUUAUUUUGAAUGGUCUGCCAUCAUGGCCCCCCUUUUUUGUCCCCUCCAAUUUAAGAUUUAUGAAGGCUUUUGGUCUCCCUGGGAGAGGGGUUGAAGCAUGGAGGCAGCCGGGGCUUUCCUGUACACUGACUUGAGACCAGUUCAAUAAAGUGCACACCUUAAAAAAAAAA